GGGUUGUGAGGUUAAGCGACUAAGCGUACACGGUGGAUGCCCUGGCAGUCAGAGGCGAUGAAGGACGUGCUAAUCUGCGAAAAGCGUCGGUAAGGUGAUAUGAACCGUUAUAACCGGCGAUGUCCGAAUGGGGAAACCCAGUGCAAUUCGUUGCACUAUCGUUAACUGAAUACAUAGGUUAACGAGGCGAACCGGGGGAACUGAAACAUCUAAGUACCCCGAGGAAAAGAAAUCAACCGAGAUUCCCCCAGUAGCGGCGAGCGAACGGGGAGCAGCCCAGAGUCUGAAUCAGCUUGUGUGUUAGUGGAACGGUCUGGAAAGUCCGACGGUACAGGGUGAUAGUCCCGUACACCAAAAUGCACAGGCUGUGAACUCGAAGAGUAGGGCGGGACACGUGGUAUCCUGUCUGAAUAUGGGGGGACCAUCCUCCAAGGCUAAAUACUCCUGACUGACCGAUAGUGAACCAGUACCGUGAGGGAAAGGCGAAAAGAACCCCGGCGAGGGGAGUGAAAAAGAACCUGAAACCGUGUACGUACAAGCAGUGGGAGCACCUUCGGGUGUGACUGCGUACCUUUUGUAUAAUGGGUCAGCGACUUAUAUUCUGUAGCAAGGUUAACCGUAUAGGGGAGCCGCAGGGAAACCGAGUCUUAACUGGGCGUUAAGUUGCAGGGUAUAGACCCGAAACCCGGUGAUCUAGCCAUGGGCAGGUUGAAGGUUGGGUAACACUAACUGGAGGACCGAACCGACUAAUGUUGAAAAAUUAGCGGAUGACUUGUGGCUGGGGGUGAAAGGCCAAUCAAACCGGGAGAUAGCUGGUUCUCCCCGAAAGCUAUUUAGGUAGCGCCUCGUGAAUUCAUCUUCGGGGGUAGAGCACUGUUUCGGCUAGGGGGUCAUCCCGACUUACCAACCCGAUGCAAACUACGAAUACCGAAGAAUGUUAUCACGGGAGACACACGGCGGGUGCUAACGUCCGUCGUGAAGAGGGAAACAACCCAGACCGCCAGCUAAGGUCCCAAAGUCAUGGUUAAGUGGGAAACGAUGUGGGAAGGCACAGACAGCCAGGAUGUUGGCUUAGAAGCAGCCAUCAUUUAAAGAAAGCGUAAUAGCUCACUGGUCGAGUCGGCCUGCGCGGAAGAUGUAACGGGGCUAAACCAUGCACCGAAGCUGCGGCAGCGACACUAUGUGUUGUUGGGUAGGGGAGCGUUCUGUAAGCCUGCGAAGGUGUGCUGUGAGGCAUGCUGGAGGUAUCAGAAGUGCGAAUGCUGACAUAAGUAACGAUAAAGCGGGUGAAAAGCCCGCUCGCCGGAAGACCAAGGGUUCCUGUCCAACGUUAAUCGGGGCAGGGUGAGUCGACCCCUAAGGCGAGGCCGAAAGGCGUAGUCGAUGGGAAACAGGUUAAUAUUCCUGUACUUGGUGUUACUGCGAAGGGGGGACGGAGAAGGCUAUGUUAGCCGGGCGACGGUUGUCCCGGUUUAAGCAUGUAGGCUGGUUGUCCAGGCAAAUCCGGAUAAUCAAGGCUGAGGUGUGAUGACGAGGCACUACGGUGCUGAAGUAACAAAUGCCCUGCUUCCAGGAAAAGCCUCUAAGCAUCAGGUAACAUCAAAUCGUACCCCAAACCGACACAGGUGGUCAGGUAGAGAAUACCAAGGCGCUUGAGAGAACUCGGGUGAAGGAACUAGGCAAAAUGGUGCCGUAACUUCGGGAGAAGGCACGCUGGUGUGUAGGUGAAGUCCCUGCGGAUGGAGCUGAGACCAGUCGAAGAUACCAGCUGGCUGCAACUGUUUAUUAAAAACACAGCACUGUGCAAACACGAAAGUGGACGUAUACGGUGUGACGCCUGCCCGGUGCCGGAAGGUUAAUUGAUGGGGUUAUCCGUAAGGAGAAGCUCUUGAUCGAAGCCCCGGUAAACGGCGGCCGUAACUAUAACGGUCCUAAGGUAGCGAAAUUCCUUGUCGGGUAAGUUCCGACCUGCACGAAUGGCGUAAUGAUGGCCAGGCUGUCUCCACCCGAGACUCAGUGAAAUUGAACUCGCUGUGAAGAUGCAGUGUACCCGCGGCAAGACGGAAAGACCCCGUGAACCUUUACUAUAGCUUGACACUGAACAUUGAGCCUUGAUGUGUAGGAUAGGUGGGAGGCUUUGAAGCGUGGACGCCAGUCUGCGUGGAGCCAACCUUGAAAUACCACCCUUUAAUGUUUGAUGUUCUAACGUUGGCCCCUUACCGGGGUUGCGGACAGUGUCUGGUGGGUAGUUUGACUGGGGCGGUCUCCUCCCAAAGCGUAACGGAGGAGCACGAAGGUUAGCUAAUCCUGGUCGGACAUCAGGAGGUUAGUGCAAUGGCAUAAGCUAGCUUGACUGCGAGCGUGACGGCGCGAGCAGGUGCGAAAGCAGGUCAUAGUGAUCCGGUGGUUCUGAAUGGAAGGGCCAUCGCUCAACGGAUAAAAGGUACUCCGGGGAUAACAGGCUGAUACCGCCCAAGAGUUCAUAUCGACGGCGGUGUUUGGCACCUCGAUGUCGGCUCAUCACAUCCUGGGGCUGAAGUAGGUCCCAAGGGUAUGGCUGUUCGCCAUUUAAAGUGGUACGCGAGCUGGGUUUAGAACGUCGUGAGACAGUUCGGUCCCUAUCUGCCGUGGGCGCUGGAGAAUUGAGGGGGGCUGCUCCUAGUACGAGAGGACCGGAGUGGACGCAUCACUGGUGUUCGGGUUGUCAUGCCAAUGGCACUGCCCGGUAGCUAAAUGCGGAAGAGAUAAGUGCUGAAAGCAUCUAAGCACGAAACUUGCCCCGAGAUGAGUUCUCCCUGAGACUUUAAGUCUCCUGAAGGAACGUUAAAGACGAUGACGUUGAUAGGCCGGGUGUGUAAGCGCAGCGAUGCGUUGAGCUAACCGGUACUAAUGAACCGUGAGGCUUAACCUUACAACGCCGAAG
This 2923-nucleotide ribosomal RNA is filed under the name Klebsiella pneumoniae. Its description in RNAcentral is "bacterial LSU rRNA". It matches the Rfam family "Bacterial large subunit ribosomal RNA". Lineage: Bacteria; Pseudomonadati; Pseudomonadota; Gammaproteobacteria; Enterobacterales; Enterobacteriaceae. RNAcentral also lists the same sequence under 1 other name. The record is from RNAcentral.